Molecule: ribosomal RNA, 493 nt
Filed under: uncultured bacterium
Lineage: Bacteria
Description: partial 16S ribosomal RNA
Rfam family: Bacterial small subunit ribosomal RNA
Source: RNAcentral
GACGAACGCUGGCGGCGCGCUUAACACAUGCAAGUCGAACGGAAAGGCCUGCUUUCCCUUGUGGAUUGCGGGUACUCGAGUGGCGAACGGGUGAGUAACACGUGAGUGAUCUGCCCCCAACUUGGGUAUAAGCCUGGGAAACUGGGUCUAAUUCCCGAUAGGACUGCAGGGUGGUGCCUGUGGUGGAAAACGAUUUUCUAGUGGUUGGGGAUGAGCUCGCGGCCUAUCAGCUUGUUGGUGGGGUAAUGGCCUACCAAGGCGGCGACGGGUAGCCGGCCUGGGAGGGUGGACGGCCACAUUGGGACUGGGAUACGGCCCAGACUCCUACGGGAGGCAGCAGUGGGGAAUAUUGAACAAGGGGCGGAAGCCUGAGGCAGCGACGCCGCGUGGGGGAUGCGGGCCUUGGGGUUGUAAACUCCUUUCGACCGCGAGGAAGCCACCUGGUGGGAAGGGUGGUGACGGUAGUGGUAGAGGAAGCACCGGCUACUACGUG